Molecule: ribosomal RNA, 585 nt
Filed under: uncultured bacterium
Lineage: Bacteria
Description: bacterial SSU rRNA
Rfam family: Bacterial small subunit ribosomal RNA
Source: RNAcentral
CCUACGGGAGGCAGCAGUGAGGAAUUUUCCGCAAUGGGCGAAAGCCUGACGGAGCAAUACCGCGUGAGGGAUGAAGGAUUUUGGUCUGUAAACCUCUUUUCUCAAGAAAGAAGUUCUGACGGUACUUGAGGAAUAAGCAUCGGCUAACUCCGUGCCAGCAGCCGCGGUAAUACGGGGGAUGCAAGCGUUAUCCGGAAUGAUUGGGCGUAAAGCGCCUGUAGGUUGUUUAUUAAGUCCGUUGUUAAAGCCUAGGGCUUAACCCUAGAAAAGCAAUGGAAACUAGUAGACUAGAGUAUGGCAGGGGUAGAGGGAAUUUCUAGUGUAGCGGUGAAAUGCGUAGAUAUUAGAAAGAACACCGGUGGCGAAAGCGCUCUACUGGACCGUUACUGACACUCAGAGGCGAAAGCUAGGGUAGCAAAGGGAUUAGAUACCCCUGUAGUCCUAGCCGUAAACGAUGGAUACUAGAUGUUGUGCAUUAUGUACAGUAUCGUAGCUAACGCGUUAAGUAUCCCGCCUGGGAGUCGCUCGCAAGGUGAAACUCAAAGGAAUUGACGGCNGAGAGNGCGACGACGACGACGAGGAGAG